UUUAGAUCAAUGGCCAACAUUGGACCUUUCCUUAUUAAACCCAAAUGACCUCUUACCCCAUCCCAUUUCACGUCUCUGAAUCCCUUUUCCCCUUCAGAUCCUCUCAAUACCCUAUCUACCACCCUCAACUAAAACAUUAAAAUCUUCCAAAGCAAUGGCCUCCAAGGUCAUCGGAGGCCUGUAUCCACCUCUUAUGGCUUCUACAUGUCUGAUUAUCAUAGUUUCAAGACUAGAUCCUUGAAAGCAUAGUCCAGACCUUGGUUGAUUUCAGUUUAUGGCUGUUCUCCGGUCGUCUCUAACCUUUCUCCGGCCAUCCAUGGCCAUUCGAGUCAGACAUCUUGACUCUUCUUCUUAGAUCGAUGGUUUUCAAAGACUUUCUCACCAUUUGGGAUUCUUCUAAAACCCUAAACCUUCAAGGUUCUUCCGUUUUGUUUUAGGUCUGUUUUAGAUAUGUGUUUGCUCUAAACUUCUAAAUAUUUUCUCAAAGUUUCUUUUAAAAACCCUUAUCUUUUUCGACUGGUUUUUCUGUAAGUUUAUUUGACAUGUUUUGCUAUAUUUCCUUAUGACAUUCUCCUACUUGAUUUUGCAUGUUAAGGGCCUUAAUUUAUUUUGAGGUUUCUGAAUAUGUUUUUGUUAGCAUUUGUUUGAUUUACUUGUGUUUCAUCUCCAAACUCGACUGAUGUUCAAAACCCUAAUUUUGGGUUCAUUCGAGUUUUGAGACUAUUAUUUGUGUGAUUUACUUGUUCAUCAUCUUUAAAUUCGACUGGCUUAAAAAUAAAUCUAAUUCGUUUGGGGCCUAUUCGAGCUUAUGAAGCUACUUCAUCUGUUUGAAGUUGCUCGACUAGAUUCAAAAUCCUUUUAUUUAGCCUCUGUUCUUUAUGUGAUUUGGUUUCUUGAAAUCAUUGAAACUCGACUAUACUUUUUCAGAAUGGCCUUUUUACUUGACCCUUUGCAUGCUUCUGAUACCCCUCUCUUUUCUGUAUUACUAAGUUGAUGAAGUUGACCUAGGUGACUACCAUGUUUCGAUAGUUCACUGUCUACUGACUAUGUGAUUGUUAUUACAUGCCACUUCUUUUCGCCAUAGUUUGGCCUCGCAUGCCUAAUGUUUAUGCACUCUAUUUAUAUGCUGAAUUACCCUCUUAAAUGACCUUAAAUUUUGGACAGAUUUCAAACCAUACCUUGAGAAAUUCUGAUUUCACUCGUAUGUUAAGUAAUUGACUCUUUCCUUGUUUCGCCUUACCGAUUUCCCUGUUUCUUGGUCUAAUUUGAACAUUUUCCUUUGAACCAUCUAUCCCUGCCUUUUGUACUCAAUUUGAUUAAUUCCCUUACUUUGGUUACAUUGGUACUUGAUUCUUACCGACAUUUCCUUGAUUAGAAUCUGAUGAACCUAGUCUCUAUUGCAUAUUGUGUAAUCGUACUAUGCUGAAAAUAUUUACUUAUUGAUUAUAUUCAGCCUUAUAUGAUUUCGUUCCUUAUUUAGUAUUUGCAUGUUAUCGUUUAAAUUUAUCUCCUUAACUAAAGGAAGUACUUAUACUGAUUUGAUUUUAAUUAGUACAUAGUUCCAUAAUUACUGCUAAACUAUGAUUCUUGCCUUAUUUUUUACAUGUUUUUAAACCAUAAAUACCUUGCUCUUUCAUUAGCACAAACACAAAAACUUCUAGUUCUGAACUCACACUUACACUCAAACACUCUCUUGCUUUACUACUUGUACUGUGGCCUAUAUAGCUGGCUGAAAACCAAAGCUAUAUUUUGAAUUCCUGCUACCUUUCUUUACUUCAUUUUGCUUCUUUGAACUGGUAUAUUCUAACUAAUUUUCAGUAUCAACAACAACGUGUUUUCUUACUAUUUAUGCCAUUCCUGUUUGCCUCUUAUUUAUAUUUAACUCAGUUCCAUCAUUAAACAUGUUGUAUUCUGCCUUUUCUGAUCUGAAUUAAUGUUUUGUGAACCUUAAAUCCCCCAUCCCCAAUGUGUUUGAUAUGGGGCAUGGUAAUAUUGAACAUUGUUGUCCAUGACUCAAACUUGAUUCCCUGGGAUCACAAACUCUAUGUUUUCUCUAGUGUUGUGUGUUCUACUGGGCUUAUAGGCAUGCCAGUAUCUUCUAUUGUUGUCAUGCCCAAAGCUGACCCUUCCCUAAAUACAUAGGCUCUUUGCUAUUCCUAACCCCUGAAUCUCUUUUGUAUGAAGUUAUCAACUCUGAAACUGUUCCCCUACCACCCUUUACCCCUCUCCUUUAUUUCCUCAUAUCUUAGAACUUUGUUUCUGUACUUGCACUAUCUUCUAAGGCUUAAGUUCUGCCCUCCUCAUGUGAGCCUUGCCUUGGGACCCAUGAGCUCCCUAUGAACUUGGACACGUGAGGGCUAACACUUCCACUCUGCACUAUCCCUAUUUUGGUUAUAAAAAUUAGGUAUGGGCACUGCCCGGGGUCCUUUUGAGGCCCUUAGGGAGCUCCAACGCACUCUAGUUUGAGAAAGGGUUUGAAACAAAUGGCAUUUGAAGUGGUUUGGUCCAUAACUCAGAAAGGAUGUCAGGAAUCUGGCCUCCUCUAAUUGUAAUUUUCUUUUUUAUCUUUCGAUGUAAUUCAUUACUGCGUCUGUAAUAAUUUUGUAAUAAAUAUUGGGGUUGGCUAGUAAAAAGAGUUGGGUAUUUACACUUGCUUAUAGGGUAGACAUCAUGCCUAUAGGAUCUACGAUUUUAAAUUCUGCAUUCAGAAACCAUGUCUAUAAGAUCCACUUUCACUAAAAUUCUGCAUGUCCCACAUUUAGAGAAUAUGCCUAUAGGAUCUAAAUAUUGCAUAUUUGUCACUGCAUAUAGAGAACCUUCUUAUAGGAUUUGCUUAAAUUUUGCAUGUCAUUGC
This 2854-nucleotide long non-coding RNA is filed under the name Nicotiana benthamiana. Its description in RNAcentral is "long non-coding RNA (NBEN_LNC028042)". Lineage: Eukaryota; Viridiplantae; Streptophyta; Magnoliopsida; Solanales; Solanaceae. The record is from RNAcentral.